RNAcentral lists this small RNA (774 nucleotides) under Vigna angularis var. angularis. RNAcentral's name for it is "Non-protein coding transcript". The record is from RNAcentral. Lineage: Eukaryota; Viridiplantae; Streptophyta; Magnoliopsida; Fabales; Fabaceae.
AAUCUACAUAACCUUACAAAAAAAACCAAACCACCCCUCCGACCUCACUCAUUACUUUUCUUUCUCGUAGAAAAAUUAAGAGGAAGAAAAACCCUAAAUCCUUUCAAAAAUCAAUUAACCUCUAUCUCCUUCUGUUUCAGAGACUAGUCUUAAUUUUCGCAUCCAAAAGAACUUCUAUUUCAGACUGUCAUGACACCCUACUCGUCAAGCCCUUUGGAGCGGUACCCGAUACCGUGGCGCGUUACCACACUCACGCGGUGGCGGAAAACCAGUGCUUCUCGGCGGUGGUGCAGGAGAUCGCCGCCUCCGUGGCCACCGUGUGGUCCGUCGUGCGGCGCUUCGACAACCCACAGGCCUACAAGCACUUCGUGAAGAGCUGCCACGUCAUCGGAGGCGACGGCGACGUCGGGACACUCCGGGAAGUCCACGUCAUCUCCGGCCUUCCGGCAGCGCGGAGCACCGAGCGCCUCGAGAUUCUAGACGAUGAGCGCCACGUCAUCAGUUUCAGCGUUGUCGGCGGGGACCACCGCCUCUCCAACUACCGCUCCGUCACCACCCUCCAUCCCGCCGCUGCCGGUUCCGGGACGGUGGUUGUGGAGUCCUUCGUGGUGGACGUGCCACCCGGGAACACGCCCGAAGACACGCGCGUGUUCGUCGACACAAUCGUAAGGUGCAACCUUCAGUCACUUGCGCAAACCUCGGAGAACUUAACGCCACAGAACAACAACAUCAAUGACAACACCAACAAUUACAAGUUCAGUUCCUAAAUUUUUC